Molecule: ribosomal RNA, 497 nt
Filed under: uncultured bacterium
Lineage: Bacteria
Description: partial 16S ribosomal RNA
Rfam family: Bacterial small subunit ribosomal RNA
Source: RNAcentral
GAUGAACGCUGGCGGCGUGCCUAAUACAUGCAAGUCGAGCGAACAGACGAGGAGCUUGCUCCUUUGACGUUAGCGGCGGACGGGUGAGUAACACGUGGAUAACCUACCUAUAAGACUGGGAUAACUUCGGGAAACCGGAGCUAAUACCGGAUAACAUGUUGAACCGCAUGGUUCAACAGUGAAAGACGGUCUUGCUGUCACUUAUAGAUGGAUCCGCGCCGCAUUAGCUAGUUGGUAAGGUAACGGCUUACCAAGGCAACGAUGCGUAGCCGACCUGAGAGGGUGAUCGGCCACACUGGAACUGAGACACGGUCCAGACUCCUACGGGAGGCAGCAGUAGGGAAUCUUCCGCAAUGGGCGAAAGCCUGACGGGGCAACGCCGCGUGAGUGAAGAAGGUCUUCGGAUCGUAAAACUCUGUUAUUAGGGAAGAACAAAUGUGUAAGUAACUAUGCACGUCUUGACGGUACCUAAUCAGAAAGCCACGGCUAACUACGUG